Long non-coding RNA from Hyaena hyaena (striped hyena), 1056 nucleotides. RefSeq lists it as uncharacterized. The record is from RefSeq and is a predicted model, not a curated record. The transcript is spliced from 3 exons. Lineage: Eukaryota; Metazoa; Chordata; Mammalia; Carnivora; Hyaenidae.
GCCCCCAACCUGUUGACCUCUUCAUGCCUUGAAGUUGAGCAAGUGCCACAGGUAUGGUGGCCAUGCUUGGAGGCCGGAUCUGAGUCACUCACUGCCCCCAGGAAAGUCGCAACCUGGCUGCUGCGGCCUCCACACGCCUUGAUGUGGUCAGCAUCCCUGUCACACCUUGAGGAGUUGUGAGCGAGGGAUGACUGUGUUCCGAUGCACAAAGGGAGCUUGAGAAAGCGGAGUUCUGCGUCGGAACAGCUCCGAUUGGUGCCCACGGGAAACGGGAGCGGCGGGGACCUUGCGCGCCGCGUGGCAAUUCCAACGAGGCAGUUUCUCGGGACUCCGUUUCUCGCCUUUCGGAAACGCUUCUUCAUCUGUCACAGGUUUGUUGAUGUCUGCUCGUUAAUUUGGGAUUUCUGGGUAUGAAUUUCUGUACCCCGAACCCGCGCGACUAAAUCAAGCACCGAGCAGGAGACAGCCUCCGUAAGACGGAGUUAAAUCAAGUGGGACUUCAUUUUCGGUUUCGAAACGGAAAAAAAAAAACCGUAAAGUAAAAUAUGAAGCCCUUUGCCGCGUAUUGCUACACAGGGGAGCUUGAACGUGCCUUCAAAGGGGAACCUGAAAGCGCUCGCGUAGGGCCAGUCCUCGUUAGUAUAGUGCAAAGCAGAGUCUCCCACGUUUCAGAAACUCUGCUCUCCGAGCGAGUAAACCUACCCGGCCGAAAUCAGCCCCGGGUCCCCUGUAUCCCACGGUUCCAAGAACAAGACCAAGGUCUCUCACCCGGGCGUCUCCCCCCACCGCCACCGCCACCGCCACCCCCACGCCCCCAGCGCUGCAGUGAAGUCCUGUCCUUGCACAGCGGGUCCCAGGACGGGACGGUCAACCUCCAAGGCCGGGAAGUGCUGCUUCCGCUGCGAAUACUCCCCUCUCCUGUGACUUGCUCCGGGCCAGGCUGGCCCUCGGAAAAUGUUUAUGGAUUCGAGACCCGAGGCCUGGGGACCCUGCACGGAAACGUUUUCUUGUCUUAACUUCGUUGCAGACUCCUUCCUGGGUCAGCUCUCAGCCUCC